RNAcentral lists this long non-coding RNA (179 nucleotides) under Parus major (Great Tit). RNAcentral's name for it is "lncRNA (ENSPMJG00000007410.1)". Lineage: Eukaryota; Metazoa; Chordata; Aves; Passeriformes; Paridae. The record is from RNAcentral.
AGGUAAUACAUCAUAUCUGAAGAUAAAGAAAGCUGGCAUUAACAGAGUAAUUAUGAACAGAGUGCAACAGGACUGUAGUUAUGCCCUCUGAGUGAAGAACUGUCAUAGACAAAUAUUAACAUCUGGCCUGUUGUCCCACACACUUCUCAAUGGAGCAGGAGGGAGCUUGUAAGUCACAG